CUAGGAAAUACGGAGGAAGCAGACUUCCAGGAACCACUGAAGGUCAUCGGCUUCCAACAUUUCUGACUAAGAACUGCAUAGGAAGUGCUUCGUCUGUUGUCUAUUAAUUAGAAAGGGAGAAUAAAGUCUAUCGACGUGUGCCAGCAAGUGGUUUGUGUGGAGUAGAUGUUCGCUGGAGCUGCAGAGCUCGAUGUGAAUGGACCAGCUCUCUGCAACACAGAAGGAAAUCAACCCACAGAACAGUAGGAAAAUGAAUAUGGAAAUACCAGUAUGAAAGAAAUCAGGAAACCUGUUUAUCUGCCGUGUUCUGCCAAAUGAACAAUCAGAAAAUGUGGUGUUUUUUUUCUCCUCAUGGCUUUUUCAGUUGCAAGAAUUUAGGCAAAGUGAGAGUCUUAACCAGUGAUUAAGAAAUAAUGAUGUUAACGAAACAAGUCUGAAAAUUUUCGUCUUUUUCAUCAUCUCCUUUGAAGGUUUACAUAAAAGAAGAUGCAGUAAUUUUACAUGGAAAUCUGGAGCAGUGUGAUGCAAUCGUAAAACCAGAAUUCUAUAUUAUGUCCCCGGUGCCCAGCAUUUCUGGUCGACUGCCACACAGCCUGUCAGAAAUGCAGGGCCUAGGGGCCUGGCAUGAACCAUCUGAAUUCAGUGCAUUUGUUUUCUCCAUUAGAAGAUUGAUGGAGAUACUUUUCUUAGGAUGCUGAGUUUGAGUCAUCUCCUGUCCACAAUGAAGUAUCUCCAAGGAAGGAGGUGUGGCAGCCCUAUGGCUGACGUUAUAUAUUCUCUGGCAUCAUCCUCCAUCGCAGAGCUGCAUCUCUGAAAUCCAGUUCAUUUCAAGAGUUACAGCAGUCUGAAUAAUAGAAGUAAUGUACCUUAGGAAUCAGAGAAUUGGGCUUUCUACCUGUCUGGAUGUG
This is a long non-coding RNA of Cygnus atratus (black swan), 908 nucleotides long. RefSeq lists it as uncharacterized. The transcript is spliced from 6 exons. Lineage: Eukaryota; Metazoa; Chordata; Aves; Anseriformes; Anatidae. The record is from RefSeq and is a predicted model, not a curated record.